Molecule: ribosomal RNA, 429 nt
Filed under: uncultured bacterium
Lineage: Bacteria
Description: bacterial SSU rRNA
Rfam family: Bacterial small subunit ribosomal RNA
Source: RNAcentral
UGGGGAAUAUUGCGCAAUGGGCGAAAGCCUGACGCAGCCACGCCGCGUGAGUGACGAAGGCCUCCGGGUUGUAAAGCUCUGUCGCGAGGGAAGAAAUACUCCAGGUAAAUAGCCUGGAGAGAUGAUGGUACCUCGCAAGAAAGCACCGGCUAACUCCGUGCCAGCAGCCGCGGUAAUACGGAGGGUGCAAGCGUUGUUCGGAAUCACUGGGCGUAAAGCGUGCGUAGGCGGUCUCGUAAGUCGGGUGUGAAAGCCCUGGGCUCAACCCAGGAACUGCACACGAUACUGCGGGACUUGAGGACGGGAGAGGGAAGCGGAAUUCCUGGUGUAGCGGUGAAAUGCGUAGAUAUCAGGAGGAACACCCGUGGCGAAAGCGGCUUCCUGGCCCGUUACUGACGCUGAGGCACGAGAGCGUGGGGAGCAAACAGG